Molecule: ribosomal RNA, 394 nt
Filed under: uncultured bacterium
Lineage: Bacteria
Description: partial 16S ribosomal RNA
Rfam family: Bacterial small subunit ribosomal RNA
Source: RNAcentral
CCUACGGGAGGCAGCAGUGAGGAAUAUUGGUCAAUGGGCGCGAGCCUGACCCAGCCAAGUAGCGUGAAGGAUGACUGCCCUACGGGUUGUAAACUUCUUUUAUAAAGGAAUAAAGUGAGGCACGUGUGCCUCUUUGUAUGUACUUUAUGAAUAAGGAUCGGCUAACUCCGUGCCCGCAGCCGCGGUAAUACGGAGGAUGCGAGCGUUAUCCGGAUUUAUUGGGUUUAAAGGGAGCGUAGGUGGGUUGUUAAGUCAGUUGUGAAAGUGUGCGGCUCAACCGUAAACUUGCAGUUGAUACUGGCAGUCUUGAGUACAGUAGAGGUAGGCGGAAUUCGUGGUGUAGCGGGGAAAUGCAUAGAUAUCACGAAGAACUCCGAUCGCGAAGGCAGCUUAC